UAGCUUAGCAGCAUAAGCACCUGCCUUGCAAGCAGGCAGUUAUGAGUUCAAUCCCCAU
This 58-nucleotide transfer RNA is filed under the name Cavia porcellus (domestic guinea pig). It matches the Rfam family "tRNA", at positions 8 to 63 of the family's 71-position model. Rfam says of the family: Transfer RNA (tRNA) molecules are approximately 80 nucleotides in length. Their secondary structure includes four short double-helical elements and three loops (D, anti-codon, and T loops). Further hydrogen bonds mediate the characteristic L-shaped molecular structure. tRNAs have two regions of fundamental functional importance: the anti-codon, which is responsible for specific mRNA codon recognition, and the 3' end, to which the tRNAs corresponding amino acid is attached (by aminoacyl-tRNA synthetases). tRNAs cope with the degeneracy of the genetic code in two manners: having more than one tRNA (with a specific anti-codon) for a particular amino acid; and 'wobble' base-pairing, i.e. permitting non-standard base-pairing at the 3rd anti-codon position. The record is from Rfam by way of RNAcentral. Lineage: Eukaryota; Metazoa; Chordata; Mammalia; Rodentia; Caviidae.